RNAcentral lists this transfer RNA (64 nucleotides) under Syllis sp. JYC-2022. Its description in RNAcentral is "tRNA-Met". The record is from RNAcentral. Lineage: Eukaryota; Metazoa; Annelida; Polychaeta; Phyllodocida; Syllidae.
UAUAAGGUAAGUUAAUUUUAAAACUAUCGGGCUCAUGCCCCGACAAUGAUUCUUUCCCCUAUAA